UAGGCUAUUUUAACUCUUUUGGCUGCUUGGCCGCCAGGCUCGGGCCUGGAGUUUCCGGGCUAGGUGUGGGGUGGAGGGAAAGUAAGAUGCGUCCCCAGAACCCGCGAAGAAAAUCCUGUGUCCCUACACAAGCCCGGGAAAGGACCGAGUCGGGAGCGAAAGACUUCCAUGUGUUCAGCAUUCCUGAAAACAUCUUAUGAGGAUAACUUACUCGUGUAUAUCUGCUUCCUCUGUAAGAAAGAGAAAUCCAUAGGACAGAGUGUGCUGGAAGUGCCUGACCAUGCAUGUAUGGGUGCAGGAGCCAAGUAGUCAUGGAGGAUAAGGGUGAUUGUAACGAAGGGGCAUUGCAGCACUCCAGACAUGGAAGACUUGGCAAUGGGAGACAAUUUCCAGCACGCUUGGGACAAAGUGAAAGAUCCAUUCUGCAGCUUAUGUUUGGUUAUGGGCGUAUGUUUGGUUCUUUGGAGGUGAAAGGACAAAAACAAAAGAAGUCAGCCACAGACUCUAAAAAAGCAUACGAAGAUGCCUUGCUCUGAAGCAUUUACCAAGAUCCUUCUAAGGAAAUGACCAAUGGACCAGGGCCUCCACCCCUGCCUCUGUCCCUGGAGAAGCCUCCUAUUCAGUAUUUCAAGAUACAGGUGAGGUCACUUUUUCCCUAAAUAAA
Molecule: long non-coding RNA, 664 nt
Organism: Gracilinanus agilis (Agile Gracile Mouse Opossum)
Lineage: Eukaryota; Metazoa; Chordata; Mammalia; Didelphimorphia; Didelphidae
Exons: 3
Source: RefSeq, a predicted model, not a curated record